Molecule: long non-coding RNA, 1283 nt
Filed under: Phasianus colchicus (ring-necked pheasant)
Lineage: Eukaryota; Metazoa; Chordata; Aves; Galliformes; Phasianidae
Description: lncRNA (ENSPCLG00000016705.1)
Source: RNAcentral
UCCCUAUGGGUCCCUAAGGGUUUCUUUUGUACCUAUGGGGUCCCUAUGGGGUCCCUAUGGAAUCCUUUAUUCCCUAUGGGUCCCUAUGGGUCCCUAAGGGUUUCUUUUGUCCCUAUGGGUCCCUAUUGGUUUCCUAUGGGGUCCCUAUGGAAUCCUUUAUUCCCCGUGGGUCCCUAUGGGUCCUUAUGGGUUCCUAUAGCUUCCUAUGGACCCCUAUGGGGUCCCUAUGGGGUCCCUAUGGGUCCCUAUGGGUCCCUAUGGGUCCCUGCGGGUUCCUUUUGUUCCCAUGGGUCCUUAUGGGUUCCUAUGGGUCCCUAUGGGUUCGUAUGGGUCCCUAUGGGUCCCUGUGGGUCCCACCCCAUAUAAUCUGUGGGUUUUUUGCAGCUGAUUGGGAUCCAGGACGGCUUCCUGUCACCCCUAUGGGUCCCUAUGGGUCCUUAUGGGUCCCUAUGGGUUCUUCUGGGUCCUUAUAGGUCUCUAUGGGUUCUUAAGGGUCCUUAUAGGUCUCUAUGGGUCCCUAUGGGUCCCUAUGAGUUCUUAAUGGUCCUUAUGGGUUCCUAGGGGUCCCUAUGGGUUCUUAGGGGUCCCUAUGGGUUCUUAGGAGUCCCUAUAGGUCUCUAUGGGUCCCUAUGGGUCCCUAUGAGUUCUUAAUGGUCCUUAUGGGUCCCUAUGGGUCCCUAUUGGUCUCUAUGGGUUCUUAUGGGUCCCUAUGGGUCCCUAUGGGUCCCUAUUGGUCUCUAUGGGUUCUUAUGGGUCCCUACUGGUCUCUAUGAGUUCCUAUGGGUCCCUGUGGGUCCCACCCCAUAUAAUCUGUGGUUUUUUUGCAGCUGAUCGGGAUCCAGGACGGCUUCCUGUCACCCCUAUGUGUCCCUAUGGGUUCCUAUGGGUCCCUAUGGCUUCCUAUGGGUCCCUAUGGGUUCUUAUGCGUCCUUAUAGGUCCCUAUGGGUUCUUAUGGGUCCCUAUGGCUUCUUAUGGGUUCCUGUGGGUCCCUAUGGGUUCUUAUGGGUCCCUGUGGGUCCCUAUGCGUUCUUACGGGUCCCUAUUGGUCUCUAUGGGUCCCACCCCAUAUAAUUUGUGGGUUUUUUGCAGCUGAUCGGGAUCCAGGACGGCUUCCUGUCACCCCUAUGGGUCCCUAUGGGUUCUUAUGGGUCCCUAUGGGUCCUUAUGGGUCCUUAUAGGUCUUUAUGGGUCCCUAUGGGUUCUUCUGGGUCCUUAUAGGUCUCUAUGGGUCCCUAUGAGUUCUUAAUGGUCCUUAUGGGUUCCUAUGGGUCCCUAUGGGUUC